Molecule: non-coding RNA, 348 nt
Organism: Vicia faba (fava bean)
Lineage: Eukaryota; Viridiplantae; Streptophyta; Magnoliopsida; Fabales; Fabaceae
Source: the annotation of a GenBank genome assembly
UUUGUCCCAAUUAGGUCACACAAACUUUCGGGAAGGGCCAUAUUAUUGUCACAUGUUUGUAUCACCUGUAGCAUUCUCCAACAAAGGACAUCCAUGCAUCGUCACCAUUUAUUUAUACAGAUGAAACAAAUUACAUAUUAUUUCACUUUUAUAUUAUGUUACAGGUACACAUACUACACAAUAUUUCUUAUUUUUUAUCAGUACAAGAAGCAAAAUAGAAAAGAAGUAUUCCAAGCAGCUUCUUCAUGUCCACGCAUCCUUUAUGCUCACACCAUCAUCUUAUACACCUGCAAAAUAGUGGAAUAUCAUCACAUCAUUCCUUCAAUACAUAGUAUUCUACUCUUCUAG